GAUGAAGAACGUAGCGAAAUGCGAUAAGUAGUGUGAAUUGCAGAAUUCCGUGAAUCAUCGAAUCUUUGAACGCACAUUGCGCCUUCUGGUAUUCCGGAAGGCAUGCCUGUUCGAGAGUCAUUAACAACCGUUUCGAUCCCUUUCUUUCAGAAAUUACAAAGAGGAAAAGGGUUUGGUUAUGGUGGAGGAGGGAAAGGGAGCGUUUAGCCUGUAAAAAAAGAGGCUGUGUUCCGCCUCCCCCCCAAAAUUGUACAGGCGGUCGUGUGCGCCCACGCAUCGAGGUGUUGUAAAAGCUGCCACGGCACUUUUCACCUGUGCAGUGCGAGAUUGGCCAGCCGGUUUAAAAACCCCUCCAAACAAUCAAAGGUUGACCUCGGAUCAGGUAGGGAUACCCGCUGAACUUAAGCAUAUCAAUAAGCCGGAGGA
Molecule: unclassified non-coding RNA, 426 nt
Filed under: soil metagenome
Description: partial contains 5.8S ribosomal RNA, internal transcribed spacer 2, and large subunit ribosomal RNA
Rfam family: 5.8S ribosomal RNA (bases 1-120)
Source: RNAcentral